Molecule: unclassified non-coding RNA, 311 nt
Filed under: fungal sp.
Lineage: Eukaryota; Fungi
Description: partial internal transcribed spacer region
Rfam family: Eukaryotic small subunit ribosomal RNA (bases 1-46)
Source: RNAcentral
AAGUCGUAACAAGGUUUCCGUAGGUGAACCUGCGGAAGGAUCAUUAAUACGUAUCCAACGUUAAACCCCCCCUGUGAACUUUUACACUUGCUUCGAAGCCCUCCGGAAUUGCAAUCCCUGGUAAAUCAUUGUUGAACAGAUUUUGAUUCAGGGACCUCAGUUUGGAGAGCCUAGUUGAGCGAUCGUGACCGGCCGGUGGACAGGUUGCAGUGGCUUCACGGCCCCAUAUUAACCCCACUACCUGUACCGGCCUCGUAGGAAACUACUGGGCAACAAACGAACAACUGUUAACAAUGGAUAUCUUGGUUCUC